GUGACCUGCGGAAGGAUCAUUAAAGAGAGCCUCGGCUCCUUUUAUGCUUAUCACCACAUUGAUGUCCUGUCCUUUGUUGCUUCCGUCCUUGAAUGGCGGGCCGCGUGCCCGCUUGACGUGGGCGGAGGGUUUUUCAAUACUAUAUAUUCUUGCUUAGAGUAUUUAUUUGUCUGAAUAUGAGGGAAAAUGCUUCAAAACUUUCAACAACGGAUCUCUUGGCUCCUGCAUCGAUGAAGAACGCAGCGAAAUGCGAUAACUAAUGUGAAUUGCAGAAUUCCGUGAAUCAUCGAGUCUUUGAACGCACAUUGCGCCCCACGGUAUUCCGUGAGGCAUGCCCGUCUCAGCGUCAGUAAACAACAUCAAACUUUGGACUUAUGUCGAAGUUUGGACAGUGUCAGGGAAGUCGUUACCAACACAGUGACGGCCCCUUGGAAAUCCAUAGGUGUUUAUGCCGCCACGAAUGGAACGUGAUGAGAAUUCCUUCGUUCCAAAGUGGAUGGCUUGGGCCACCCAGAAACCCACAUGCUUUACGGCAUUGCUUCUGUCUUGACCUGAGAUCGGGUAGGGAUACCCGCUGAACUUAA
This 584-nucleotide ribosomal RNA is filed under the name uncultured Hydnobolites. RNAcentral's name for it is "eukaryotic LSU rRNA". The stretch from base 196 to 349 matches the Rfam family "5.8S ribosomal RNA". The record is from RNAcentral. Lineage: Eukaryota; Fungi; Ascomycota; Pezizomycetes; Pezizales; Pezizaceae.